AUGGGCCCUGGGACGGCAUCCGCGUCCUGGGGUUUGCAACUCGGCGUGGUGCUGGUCUUUCUGCUGGCCUCUGGCUGCCAGGGGCUGAGCCAUGAGGGCUGGCUUCUCCUGGCGCUCAAGAGCCAGAUGAUUGACAGUUACCACCACCUUGACAACUGGAACCCCAAGGAUCCAUCGCCGUGCGCGUGGAGUGGUGUCAACUGCUCCUCCUCCUCGUCGUCGUCGAGGCUAGCAGUGGUGUCUCUCAACGUCAGCAACAUGAACCUGUCGGGCACCGUCGGCCCCGGCAUUGGCGGUCUUACCGAGCUGACUAGCCUCGAUCUGUCCUUCAAUGAGUUCUCUGGUGCCAUCCCUCCGGACAUCGGGAAUUGCUCAAAACUGGUGUUGCUCAACUUGAAUAACAACAAUUUUGAUGGUACAAUCCCCCCUGAGCUUGGGAAGCUGGCCAUGCUGACCGGAUGCAAUCUGUGCAAUAACAGGCUCCAUGGUCCAAUACCUGAUGAGAUUGGUAACAUGUCAUCACUUCAAGACUUGGUGGGGUACAGUAACAAUCUCUCCGGUUCUAUACCGCAUUCGGUCGGCAAGCUCAAGCACCUCAAGACCAUCCGGCUGGGACAGAAUCUUAUAUCUGGCAGCAUUCCUGCCGAGAUAGGCGAAUGCCGCAACCUGACCGUGUUUGGUCUUGCGCAGAACAAGUUGGAAGGGCCUUUGCCAAAAGAGAUUGGGAGAUUGGGUCUCAUGACAGACCUCAUCCUGUGGGGAAAUCAGCUUUCUGGCCCCCUUCCUCCAGAGAUCGGGAAUUGUACAAAUCUCAGGACUAUUGCCCUUUAUGAUAAUGAUCUGGUUGGUCCUAUACCUGCAGCAAUUGGGAACAUUACUUAUCUUGAGAAGCUGUAUCUUUACAGGAAUUCGAUAAAUGGUACCAUUCCAUCUGAAAUUGGGAAGCUUUCUUUUGCAGAGGAGGUUGAUUUUUCAGAGAAUUUCUUAACGGGAGGGAUACCAAAGGAGUUGGGCAACAUACCAGGGUUGUAUCUACUCUACCUCUUCCAGAAUCAGCUUACUGGCUUUAUUCCUAGUGAGUUGUGUGGAUUGAGGAACUUGAGCAAGCUUGAUCUUUCGAUCAAUUCACUCACUGGCCCAAUUCCAGCCGGAUUUCAGUACAUGACCAAGCUAAUCCAGUUGCAACUCUUCAACAAUAUGCUAUCAGGGGACAUACCUCCAAGGUUUGGCAUUUACAGUCGACUGUGGGUGGUGGAUUUCUCAAACAACAACAUUACAGGGCAGAUACCUAGAGAUCUUUGUAGGCAGUCAAACCUUAUUUUGUUGAAUCUGGGGUCUAACAAGUUGACUGGAAACAUACCUCACAGAAUCACCAGCUGUAAAUCCUUGGUGCAGCUUCGUCUCAGUGACAACAGUCUGACAGGAAGCUUCUCCACUGAUCUCUGCAAUCUGGUGAAUUUGACAACAAUCGAGCUGGCUCGAAACAAGUUCAAUGGCCCUAUUCCUCCUCAGAUAGGGAACUGCAAUGCUCUGCAGAGGCUUAACCUUGCAAAUAAUUAUUUCACAUCUGAGUUGCCCCGAGAAAUAGGGAAAUUGUCAAAGCUUGUCGUCUUCAAUAUCUCAUCUAACAGGCUAGGAGGAAGCAUACCACUGGAGAUCUUCAAUUGUACAACAUUGCAGCGUCUUGAUCUCAGCCAGAAUAGCUUUGAAGGUUCAUUGCCAAAUGAAGUUGGUAGACUGCCUCAACUGGAGCUUCUCUCGUUCGCUGAUAAUAGGCUAUCUGGGCAGAUGCCACCUAUUCUUGGUAAACUUUCACAUUUGACAGCACUGCAGAUUGGUGGCAAUCAAUUCUCUGGUGGAAUACCAAAGGAGCUGGGGCUGCUCUCAAGCUUGCAGAUUGCCAUGAAUUUGAGCUAUAAUAAUCUCUCUGGGAAUAUACCAUCAGAGCUUGGCAGUCUUGCAUUAUUGGAAAGUUUGUUUCUCAAUAAUAACAACCUGACAGGUGAAAUCCCAGAUACAUUUGUAAACCUGUCAAGUUUGCUUCAGCUCAAUGUCUCGUACAAUAAUCUCACCGGUACUCUUCCCCCUGUGCCGCUUUUUGACAACAUGGUUGUGACCAGCUUUAUUGGAAACAGAGGACUCUGUGGUGGACAACUUGGCAAGUGUGGAUCUGAGUCACCCUCCUCUUCCCAGGCAUCCGACUCGGUCAGUCGUCCUAUGGGCAAGAUCAUAGCAAUUAUUGCCGCCAUUAUUGGAGGAGUAUCACUUAUUCUUAUUGCCAUACUUUUGCACCAUAUGAGGAAACCAUUAGAAACAGUAGCCCCUUUGCAAGACAAGCAAAUUCUAUCUGCUGGGUCUAACAUUCCUGUUUCUGCGAAGGAUGCGUAUACAUUUCAGGAACUGGUCUCUGCUACAAAUAAUUUUGAUGAUAGUUGUGUCAUUGGACGGGGUGCUUGUGGGACUGUGUACAAAGCCGUCCUGAAGCCUGGGCAGAUAAUUGCGGUAAAGAAGUUGGCUUCAAACAGGGAAGGAAGCAACACGGAUAACAGCUUCCGUGCGGAGAUCAUGACUCUUGGAAAGAUAAGACAUCGUAACAUUGUGAAGCUGUACGGUUUCAUCUAUCACCAGGGUGCAAACCUUUUGUUGUAUGAGUACAUGCCAAGAGGCAGCCUUGGAGAGCUACUUCACGGAGAAUCUUCUUCUUCACUCGAUUGGGAGACACGCUUCACGAUAGCCCUUGGGGCAGCUGAAGGGCUUUCAUACUUGCAUCAUGAUUGCAAGCCUCGGAUCAUCCACCGUGAUAUCAAGUCAAAUAACAUUUUACUUGAUGACAACUUUGAAGCUCAUGUUGGUGACUUUGGGUUGGCUAAGGUAAUUGACAUGCCAGUCUCAAAGUCUAUGUCUGCAAUUGCUGGUUCAUAUGGCUAUAUUGCACCAGAGUAUGCGUACACCAUGAAGGUGACUGAGAAAUCUGACAUAUACAGCUAUGGUGUCGUGCUGUUGGAGCUGCUAACCGGCCGUGCGCCUGUGCAACCGAUAGAAUUGGGAGGUGAUCUGGUAACAUGGGCCAAAAAUUACAUCAGGGACAAUUCUCUGGGUCCAGGGAUAUUUGACAGUAAUCUUGAUUUGGAAGAUAAAGCCGUCGUCGAUCAUAUGAUCGAGGUCUUGAAAAUUGCUCUGCUAUGUAGUAACCUGUCGCCGUACGAGAGACCGCCGAUGCGGCAUGUUGUAGUUAUGUUAAGCGAGUCCAAAGAUAGGGCCCGGGCGAGCUCGGCGUCGUCGCCUGCUUCUGAUAAUUCUUCGAAGAAGGAUAGCUCAUGA
RNAcentral lists this ribosomal RNA (3321 nucleotides) under Triticum aestivum (bread wheat). RNAcentral describes it as "partial small subunit ribosomal RNA". Lineage: Eukaryota; Viridiplantae; Streptophyta; Magnoliopsida; Poales; Poaceae. The record is from RNAcentral.